GCCGUAAUAGAUUUUGUACCGUCCUCGUGGAUCUAUUUGGUUAAUGUUGAUCGAAAGAGAUCUGAAUCCCGAUCUCACUGAAGCGCAACUCUGAAGACGAUCGACGUGACUUUACCAAGUAACUCUUUCGUACUAAUUCCUCGAGUAACGAAAAUCAUGGGUUUAUAUACCCCUAGAUAUUGGUGGGGAUACGUCAGUGAUUCCCAUAUAUGGAAAUUUGGCGGUUGAGAUUUUUGUUACUCAGAGGUGAACAUCUGUGGGGCUUUAGAGAAAGUUUAGAUAAAGGGUUACUCACGCAACGCGAGUUAAAAGAUGAUUCUGAGAAAAGUAUGGUACAGCUGGAGAGUGCACUUCGGUAAGACCAGACUCCACAUUCCAAGGGGUAGAUAAAAUAAAUGAACGCGAGCUUCGAAAAGAACGGGUGUGCAUACGUAAUAGAAUAAUCAGUUAGAAGUAUUACAAGUAACGGUUCCUUCGAUCGUAAAGGAAAUUUCGGAGGCAUCGACAAGUCUUCGAGGACCCCCAAACGCAGGCAUACCCCCCACCCGCGCUUCAAGGGGGCUGGCCAAAGGGGACCUGGAGGUGUCGUCGCGAACGCCGACAGGAUCGUACGUCACUUCAGUUGAAAACGUCGAAACAUGAAGAAUUUAAAAACGAAGUGACAUUGAAUAUUUAAGAAUGAGCAGCCUGGAGGAAGUUACAUACGGGAUUGACAGGUUGUCCUUCUGGGACAACUACACGAGACAUGAAUAAUAUGGGGUAACAUUUUUAAUGGCAUCCUUCGGUAUGCCGCAGCC
Long non-coding RNA from Hylaeus anthracinus, 797 nucleotides. RefSeq lists it as uncharacterized. The record is from RefSeq and is a predicted model, not a curated record. The transcript has 3 exons. Lineage: Eukaryota; Metazoa; Arthropoda; Insecta; Hymenoptera; Colletidae.